CCACUCACAAAGUGGCUGGGGUAUGUUGAAUUCAUAUCACAGCCAGCUUUGAUGAGCGGGA
This 61-nucleotide microRNA precursor is filed under the name Pediculus humanus corporis (human body louse). RNAcentral describes it as "mir-2 microRNA precursor". It matches the Rfam family "mir-2 microRNA precursor family". From Rfam's summary of the family: The miRNAs are transcribed as ~70nt precursors (modelled here) and subsequently processed by the Dicer enzyme to give a ~22nt product. In this case the mature sequence comes from the 3' arm of the precursor. The record is from Rfam by way of RNAcentral. Lineage: Eukaryota; Metazoa; Arthropoda; Insecta; Psocodea; Pediculidae.